GCUCCUGUAGCCCAAUCGGAAGAGGCAACCGUCUUAAACACGGUAUGUUGUGGGUUCGACUCCCACCAGGAGUA
Molecule: transfer RNA, 74 nt
Filed under: Symploca sp. SIO2E9
Lineage: Bacteria; Bacillati; Cyanobacteriota; Cyanophyceae; Coleofasciculales; Coleofasciculaceae
Description: tRNA-Leu
Rfam family: tRNA
About the family: Transfer RNA (tRNA) molecules are approximately 80 nucleotides in length. Their secondary structure includes four short double-helical elements and three loops (D, anti-codon, and T loops). Further hydrogen bonds mediate the characteristic L-shaped molecular structure. tRNAs have two regions of fundamental functional importance: the anti-codon, which is responsible for specific mRNA codon recognition, and the 3' end, to which the tRNAs corresponding amino acid is attached (by aminoacyl-tRNA synthetases). tRNAs cope with the degeneracy of the genetic code in two manners: having more than one tRNA (with a specific anti-codon) for a particular amino acid; and 'wobble' base-pairing, i.e. permitting non-standard base-pairing at the 3rd anti-codon position.
Source: RNAcentral